UUUAAUGUUUUAUGUCAGUAGUCACUUUGGAGGCUCAGAAAAAAGCCAUCUAAUUGACUGACGCACAUCGUCCCAUCAGCACUACCUGAUAAAAGACGGCUUCACCAUCAGCUAUUGAAAGCUUUAGCUGUGUAAACUAAUAGAAGAAAUGGUUUAUCACUGAAGCUGUUUUGUGAGGUUCCAGUUUUUGUAGGCUUCUUAAUAGCAGGAAAUUGAUUUAGAAAGGAUAUUUAAUUAUUUAUUGAUGUCUGCUGCCUUGUUAAAAAAAUAACACUGUAUCCAGAAACCACCUGUAGCAGAAAUAAACAGAUUUUUCUCAAAUCUUACGGUCAUCAUCAUUAGGUCACCAUACUCACACUUAAUCUGUAACUGCCCUUCGAUGAAUGUGUUACAUCACUUAUGCAUAUCAUUUCAUCUGUAAUUCUGUUUCCUUCACAGAAGCUGCAGCGUCAGCUUCACCGAACGAGAAUAUCAUCAGACUGGGGAUUACAAGUUGUCGAAAACUUUGAAAUCCAAGAGGAUGUACACAAGAUGAAUGACCGAUGGACACAGUGUGGCUCACACCUCUCCACUGCCUUCUAACUGAUUGGAUCUUUCUGGAGACUCACAAGAGAGGACUAACAGUGAAAUAGACUGCCUUCAUCUUCAGGAAGACCAUGACCAGAGGAAACUGAUUUAGGAUAUACAUAUAUAUUUUUUUCAAGAUAAUUCAUACACCCAGGACCUUUUACAUUUGUAAAUAUGCAUAUUAUUACAAACAUCUAUUUCUUGACUACAGGAAAACUCAAAGUAUUGCAUGCUCAAUAAUGCUACAGUUAUAUCAAUCCACUAUGCACCUACUGUAAGAAAAGGAAAUAAUUCAGUCAAGGUUGAUUUCAGUUGUCAGACUACUAAAUGGAUGUUAUUUGGGGAAGUCGUGGCCUAAUGGUUAGAGGGUUGGACUCCCAAUCGAAGGGUUGUGAGUUCGAGUCUCAGGCCGGCAGGAAUU
Long non-coding RNA from Carassius auratus (goldfish), 988 nucleotides. RefSeq lists it as uncharacterized. The transcript has 3 exons. NCBI's taxonomy places the organism in Eukaryota, Metazoa, Chordata, Actinopteri, Cypriniformes, Cyprinidae. The record is from RefSeq and is a predicted model, not a curated record.